RNAcentral lists this ribosomal RNA (258 nucleotides) under uncultured bacterium. RNAcentral describes it as "partial 16S ribosomal RNA". It matches the Rfam family "Bacterial small subunit ribosomal RNA", at positions 103 to 354 of the family's 1533-position model. The record is from RNAcentral.
CGGGUGAGUAACACGUGAGUGACCUGCCUUUUAGACUGGAACAACUUACCGAAAGGUGAGCUAAUGCCGGAUGAGUUAUAUAAGUGCAUGUUUAUGUAGGAAAAGUUGGGGAGACCUGACGCUGAAAGAUGGACUCGCGUCCCAUUAGCUAGUUGGUAGGGUAAUGGCCUACCAAGGCGACGAUGGGUAGCCGGCCUGAGAGGGUGGCCGGCCACACUGGGACUGAGACACGGCCCAGACUCCUACGGAAGGCAGCAG